Molecule: long non-coding RNA, 533 nt
Organism: Homo sapiens (human)
Lineage: Eukaryota; Metazoa; Chordata; Mammalia; Primates; Hominidae
Gene: HOXC-AS3
Product: HOXC cluster antisense RNA 3
Source: Ensembl
GGGGCUCAAAACAGUCAAAUUCAAAUUAAAAGGUCGAGACACGAAUCAGGGAAUAUUCCGGGAAAGAAAGAGGGAACCUGCGGAGCCUCGGUCAGUUUGGAGGAGUCACGUAUCACACGGGAAACCAGCACACAAGACGCAACAAAACCCGACCCAGAGAAGCGUCCUUUACAGAGCGCACGGGCUGGGAGCAUGUUUGAAAGAAGACAGACCAGUCUAUUUUUGUGGUUGUUUUUAAAUAAAAGGAAGAAAUAAGGGGAACCGUAUGUUUCAAACAGUUAUUUCCGUUUCUCCAUCGCCUUCUUCCAAAGCGAACUAAACUCUCCACCCCUUCCUCAGGAAACGGAAUCUGGAGAACAACUUGUCUUUCCUGUCGCCCCACAUUUUUCCUUGGACAGAGCCUAGGGUUCAGACUUUCCGAAGGGCUGGAGUUUGGCGGGGAAAGGACUGGAGCCCAGCGCCCUGGAGUGGAGGAGUGAGGAGGCUAGACCGUUUCUAAGGAGGCCCAAGCCCGCUGCGGCUAGAAGACCGCA